This 375-nucleotide ribosomal RNA is filed under the name uncultured bacterium. RNAcentral's name for it is "bacterial SSU rRNA". It matches the Rfam family "Bacterial small subunit ribosomal RNA", at positions 914 to 1290 of the family's 1533-position model. The record is from RNAcentral.
CGGGGGCCCGCACAAGCGGAGGAACAUGUGGUUUAAUUCGAUGAUACGCGAGGAACCUUACCUGGGCUCGAACGCAGGGGGAAUGUAGGAGAAAUCUUACAGCUAGCAAUAGCCGCCUGCGAGGUGCUGCAUGGUUGUCGUCAGCUCGUGCCGUGAGGUGUCGGCUUAAGUGCCAUAACGAGCGCAACCCUUAUUGUUAGUUGCCAGCGGGUAAAGCCGGGGACUCUAACAAAACUGCCAGCGUAAGCUGUGAGGAAGGCGGGGAUGACGUCAAAUCAGCACGGCCCUUACGUCCAGGGCUACACACGUGUUACAAUGGCCGGUACAGAGGGCAGCUGCCCCGCGAGGGGAUGCAAAUCUCUAAAGCCGGUCCCA